RNAcentral lists this ribosomal RNA (524 nucleotides) under uncultured bacterium. RNAcentral describes it as "partial 16S ribosomal RNA". It matches the Rfam family "Bacterial small subunit ribosomal RNA", at positions 28 to 523 of the family's 1533-position model. The record is from RNAcentral.
GACGAACGCUGGCGGCGUGCCUAAUACAUGCAAGUCGAACGCUUCUUUUUCCACCGGAGCUUGCUCCACCGGACAAAGAGGAGUGGCGAACGGGUGAGUAACACGUGGGUAGCCUGCCCAUCAGAAGGGGAUACCACUUGGAAACAGGUGCUAAUACCGUAUAACAAUCGAAACCGCAUGGUUUUGAUUUGAAAGGCGCUUUCGGGUGUCGCUGAUGGAGGGACACGCGGUGCAUUAGCUAGUUGGUGAGGUAACGGCACACCAAGGCCACGAUGCAUAGCCGACCUGAGAGGGUGAUCGGCAACAUUGGGACUGAGACACGGCCCAAACUCCUACGGGAGGCAGCAGUAGGGAAUCUUCGGCAAUGGACGAAAGUCUGACCGAGCAACGCCGCGUGAGUGAAGAAGGUUUUCGGAUCGUAAAACUCUGUUGUUAGAGAAGAACAAGGAUGAGAGUAACUGUUCAUCCCUUGACGGUAUCUAACCAGAAAGCCACGGCUAACUACGUGCCAGCCGCCGCUGUAA